Molecule: long non-coding RNA, 831 nt
Organism: Topomyia yanbarensis
Lineage: Eukaryota; Metazoa; Arthropoda; Insecta; Diptera; Culicidae
Exons: 2
Source: RefSeq, a predicted model, not a curated record
GAGUUUUCUGCAAUGAAAUUGCACUUUUCUUGCAGAAGUGUUGUCAAAACGCCGACACCAUGUUCCAUUGAUUGGAACUGUAAUAAAAAAGUGCAAUUCCAGUGCAAUUUCGGGGCAGAAAUUUGGCACCGAAAAUUUUGUCGGUGGAGCCAGUGCACUCACCAAUACUAACAACGCAAAUGUCAAAACAACAUUGAAAGAUGGCCGCACGAAAAAGUUUAAUCAAAAAUCUUCACGAAUGGGAACUUUUUCAAACUAGUGAGGACAGAAUUGAGAGCCCGCGAGUCUUGAAGCUUGAAUCAGAUGGAAUCUGUUUGUUCGUAAAAAGCAGUGGUUGUUGGAGUUUUCACUUCCGGAGAUGGAACAAACCAUCAUGAUAUCAACAGUGAUAGUGGGUAUUGGCUUGUCUACGCUGACUGAUAACACUCUUCUCAGGGCCCUGGAUAAACUCCACCCUAUUUGGGUGGGCAGAGCGAUUGCCCCGAACAUAUCGGUUCGGAAUCCUGAAUGGUUUCCAGCUCAAAUACAAUAACAACCAAUACCCAAAUUGGUUACUGCAUUUGCCAUAGUCUUCCGGAUUCCGGUAGAGUACCCAAGGUGGAGCUGGCUUGCAGUACAGUGGCCGCGAAUGGAGGAUGGCAAAUCGUUGAAACUGUGUGAUGUGUCCGUGGGUUCUAGGGAACCUUCCCAGCCAUCGAAAUUAGUCGUUUACCAAAUUUUUUCGUAUGGAGAGAUGUAAUUUGUAAUGCCGGUAGGACAAAUUGAUCCUUAAGAAGCAGUUCUAUAUAAUUUGAAAAUUCCAAUUCAUCGAAAAUAACAUGUUUUAUUGAA